CCAAUAGCGUAUAUUAAAGUUGUUGCAGUUAAAAAGCUCGUAGUUGAAUUUCGGGAUCAAUUUAUCGGUCGUGCAAUAGUACGUACUGGUUUUAUUGGUUCCUACCUUCUGAUGAACCAUGAUGCCAUUAAUUUGGUGUCAUGGGGAAUCAGGACUGUUACUUUGAAAAAAUUAGAGUGUUUAAAGCAGGCUCACGCUUGAAUACAUUAGCAUGGAAUAAUGAAAUAGGACGUUUGAUUCUAUUUUGUUGGUUUCUAGGAUCGACGUAAUGAUUAAUAGGGAUAGUUGGGGGCAUUAGUAUUCAAUUGUCAGAGGUGAAAUUCUUGGAUUUAUUGAAGACUAACUACUGCGAAAGCAUUUGCCAAGGAUGUUUUCAUUAAUCAAGAACGAAAGUUAGGGGAUCGAAGACGAUCAGAUACCGUCGUAGUCUUAACCAUAAACUAUGCCGACUAGGGAUCGGAUGAUGUUAAUUUUUUAAUGACUCA
Molecule: ribosomal RNA, 485 nt
Filed under: Glomus sp.
Lineage: Eukaryota; Fungi; Glomeromycota; Glomeromycetes; Glomerales; Glomeraceae
Description: SSU rRNA
Rfam family: Eukaryotic small subunit ribosomal RNA
Source: RNAcentral